RNAcentral lists this small RNA (27 nucleotides) under Bombyx mori (domestic silkworm). RNAcentral's name for it is "ovarian small RNA-24279". Lineage: Eukaryota; Metazoa; Arthropoda; Insecta; Lepidoptera; Bombycidae. The record is from RNAcentral.
UAUUGUAUUUUAAAGCGAUGGUAGCAA